Molecule: long non-coding RNA, 542 nt
Organism: Juglans microcarpa x Juglans regia
Lineage: Eukaryota; Viridiplantae; Streptophyta; Magnoliopsida; Fagales; Juglandaceae
Exons: 2
Source: RefSeq, a predicted model, not a curated record
AAUGAAAAAGUCUACUUUCACCCGGGAGGGGGAAUCCCCGCGUACACGUCUAUCCACGUGUAAAAAUAAAACGGUUCUUCUCAUCUACUGGUUCUCAUCUUCUUCGUCUUCGUUAUUUUCUGACCAAGUUGUGCGCCAUUGGUAGGGUUUCUUCAACCAACGAUUGAUAGGAAUCAAGGAUCUACUCAUGAUGUUGCCAUGGGUAUGAAUUGAAAACCAGAAUAUUCAAUCAAGAAUAGAAAAAAAGAGGAUUGAUCAUCAUGGGCAACAAUUUGAUCAUCAUGAUUUGGGGCUUUUGUCACCUGGGAUUAAAUCUUCUACAUCAUAGGUAGAUUCCCAGAAAAAAAAACGAAGGUGGAGGACCUUUGAUUCCUUGUAUAUGCAACUUUUAGAAUUUACCCAAAUAGUAUUGUAAAAAUGAAAGAACAAGGCAACCUCCUAUGCGAAGCCGAAUCUGUAAAAAUGAAAGAACAAGGACCUUUGAUUUCUUCCUUUCGUAAACCCCAACAGUUUUUAUCUCUGAAAUGAGUUUGAGUUGCAGA